This 2664-nucleotide long non-coding RNA is filed under the name Salvia miltiorrhiza (redroot sage). RNAcentral describes it as "long non-coding RNA (SMIL_LNC000498)". The record is from RNAcentral. Lineage: Eukaryota; Viridiplantae; Streptophyta; Magnoliopsida; Lamiales; Lamiaceae.
UUGCUUUUGGCAACUCUCGCCAUCAAAGUCAUUCCCUAUCAUCCUCAAAAGUCAAGACCUACAUUUUAUAGCCUUUAGAGUGAAACCUUCUCUGCACAGCCACAAUCCAAUAUCCACUUCUCUGCAUAUAACCAAACCGAGGCCAUUAGCCUCACAAUUUCAACUCUCCUUCUCAAACAAGAAAAAGAAUAAGUGCAGAGGUAAGUUUUAAGCUUGUAUUUCCUCAUUUCUUUCCAUUAUUCAUCCCACAAGUAUUGAGGAACCAAUAUGUGCAGCCUCUCUUCCUUUGCUUCGAUCAGAGGUUUACUAGCAGCAAAUCCAGCAACUACACCUUUCAAUUUCAGCAAAACAAAUCAAAGGUUUCAUAUAUGAAUUUCCUCCGUUCAUUUACACUUGCUCACAGUUAGAACACUUCAAUUGCAGUACCACAAACAUUUUCAGACUUCAAAUUCAUGAUAAGCAAUACACAAACCAUUUCAUCCAUAUAGGUAUACAUAUCGAUUAUGCUUAUAUGAAAUCACUCAGAAUUUAUAUAUGUACAUACGCAUAUUUUGAGUAUAACUAUUUUUUUUACAAGAGAUUGAAUGAGUUUAAAAACCUACUAGAAUAAGAGAAAGAAGAAAGAUGGAGUCUUGAGUUUUGAUUUUGUUUGUCAAGCCUGAGUGUUUUGGGGCAUCUGAGUGGGGAGUUGGUCCGGUGGUGAUGGCAAAGGGAGAUGAGGCGUCGACGGCGCUGCUGUCCGUCCGGUGGUGGUGGUCUGCCACUGACCGAAGAGAGAGAGAUUUCGAGGGAGGUCAGUGGCGGAGGUUGGCUUUCUCAGCUAAUGCGUCCGUCGGAUGAGGGAAGGAGGCGGCAUCACGUGGGUGGCGUCGUAGUCGGCGGGAGUCAGAGAGAGGGAGGCCAGGGCGCGGCGGCCCUGCCGCUGUCGCUCGGCCACAGACGGAGAGAGAGAUGGGGACGAGAGAAGGGAGAACCGAGGGUGUCAGUGGCUGUCGCCGCUUGCUCCGGCGAGCUCCGGCGGCGGUGGAUUUCGAUGGUGGAGGGGUGGAUUUUCUGGCAGAACUGAGGGAGAAGGGGGCGAGCAGAUUUUGAGAAGGAGAUAGGGAGACCCGUGUGUGUGCGUUGAGUGAGGAAAUAGGAGAGUUAGGGCUAGAGUGUUGGGCUUCUAUUUUGGGCCGAUUUUAAUAAGCUGGGCUGCCCCUUUUUUGUUGGGCUAGGAUUAUUCAUUGAGUGUUGGGCUGGUUUAUUUUAAAUUUUUAGGCCCGAUUUUUCUUAUUUAUUUGUUGGGUUACAGAUUUUUCAAAAGAGAUUGGGCCCUAUUAUUUAAUUUCUUGGGCUGCCUUUUUCUAAAAUUGGGUCAUGCAGUUUACUUUUAAUUAAUUAGACUUAAUUGGUUUGAUUAAUUAUUUUUAAAGAAUAAUUUGCUUAAUAAUAUUAUAUGAUUAUUAUGUGUAUAUUUUAAGUAAUCACUUAUUAUAUGCUAAGCAUGACAUGACAUUGCAUUUGCAUAAUGCAAUAAAAUAAUUUAUGAUUUAAUUGGUCUUAUUUGUAAAUCCAAUUAUUUAAGAAAAAGCGAGUAAGGAUAUUGUUGGUGUCGUUGACUCAAGAGUUAAUUUUUAAUUAUUUAUUUAUUAAAUUUUGAAAACCCGACGUGAUGAAUCAUAGUAGUUAAACACACCCACUAAGACUUUAAGUUAGUUUCACGAGACCUAUUAAGAAUAGAAUUUCUUGUAGGCUUUGUGGACCAAGGGGAUUAGCGCUGCUUUCCCGAGAUGAGUUUAUGUGAUUAUGAUCUUCAGGCUUGGCCUAUCCAGGUGGGUUUACUUUCCAAAUGUAUAAGUAUGAUUGAGUUAUUAAGCUCUAAAUGUUUCAAUGAAAUGCAAACUGUUUUUUCAAUAAAGUGCAAACUGUUUAUCCAAUAAAAUGUUUAUGUGCACUCUGCUCUGUUUAAGGCUCGCAAAGUUAAUCAAUUGAGGUUCUCUUAUGAUCUAACACGUUAUUUGAGAAUUGUGUGCACUUGUUAGCUGACUUGGUGGGUUGAUCUCCAUCGGGCACUAACCAAGCGUUAUAAGGGUCUCGGCUGAUGUGUUCCGAGCAUGAGAAAUAUGAGGCCUGUCUAGGUAGCGUCCCGAGGUCAAAGUAAACUUGUCUGGGUUACGCCCUCAGUUCAAGUAAGCAGGAGACAGAGAUCCGUUGGUGGCUAAAAGGUCCGGAUCACAGCGAGUAACAGAAAUGGAGUGUGACAUGUGCGCACAAAUGAAAGAAAUUAUUUUAAUAUGCUUAGAAGUUCUUUCAAUUUAAAACCUUCUAAGUUAUGUCAAUUAUGAUUGGAUAAACUGUCUUUACGAAAAUAUGAAAUGUUUCAGAAAAUGCAUGCCCACUAAGUACAUUAGUACUUAGCCCAAAAGUACUUUCAAAUGUUUUCAGGUUGGCUGGCUGGUGCUGACGGGACUGAGCUGAGGCUAGGGUUCAACUUCAUUUUAAGACUUCUGCUGUAGCAGUAGAUAAUAUCAUGUAUUUUGAAUUCUUAACUUAAGAUUUUCAUGUUAGAUUUAGAAUGACAUCUCUGAUUGAGCUUAAACACUUAACUCCUAAUUUUAUGCUAAUGAAUACGGGUUAUGAGAAGCAUGAAACAAAACUUGUGAUCCAAAGGGGCCUAACCCG